RNAcentral lists this ribosomal RNA (472 nucleotides) under uncultured bacterium. Its description in RNAcentral is "bacterial SSU rRNA". It matches the Rfam family "Bacterial small subunit ribosomal RNA", at positions 355 to 825 of the family's 1533-position model. The record is from RNAcentral.
UGGGGAAUAUUGGACAAUGGGCGAAAGCCUGAUCCAGCCAUGCCGCGUGUGUGAAGAAGGUCUUCGGAUUGUAAAGCACUUUAAGUUGGGAGGAAGGGCAGUAACCUAAUACGUUGCUGUCUUGACGUUACCGACAGAAUAAGCACCGGCUAACUCUGUGCCAGCAGCCGCGGUAAUACAGAGGGUGCAAGCGUUAAUCGGAAUUACUGGGCGUAAAGCGCGCGUAGGUGGUUUGUUAAGUUGGAUGUGAAAUCCCCGGGCUCAACCUGGGAACUGCAUUCAAAACUGACAAGCUAGAGUAUGGUAGAGGGUGGUGGAAUUUCCUGUGUAGCGGUGAAAUGCGUAGAUAUAGGAAGGAACACCAGUGGCGAAGGCGACCACCUGGACUGAUACUGACACUGAGGUGCGAAUGCGUGGGGAGCAAACAGGAUUAGAUACCCCAGUAGUCCCUGAGCGGGCUGGCAAGGCGCAU